ACCUAGAUGGACUGUUCUUCACUGAGUGAUUGUACUUUUUUGUACAUAUACAUGCAGCAUUGCAAAACUGGAAUUGUCAUCUGUGAAGCAAGCAAGCCAAAAAGGAUUAUUGCAGUGGACUGCUCUGCAGAGGACCUCCAUGCUGUGCCCAAAGUACUGUUAAGGUUUCCUAAUGCUCUGAGAGGUUGUGAAGUGUAUUUAUCUCGAAUGCCUUGCAACUAUUGUGCAAAAUUGCUGGUUCAAGCACAAGUCUCACAAGUGUACUACUGGCCUAAUUUUGAAUAUAACCUGACAGACAAGACCUUGAAGGAUGAUCUGGUAAAGCAUACUAAUGCCAUCUUUUCGGAAAGCUGUGUCAUUGCAGCAGUCUUUGUACCAGCAAUAAAUAAUCAAAGAAAGCAGCGAAUACUUGUUUCAAAUAAAAGAGCAUCUUCUGAUGGUGAUUGCAUUGCGAUUCAAUCUAUAUUUGAUAAGAAAUAUGACACGAAUAUAAAACAGCUUCUUAAAUUAGAACACCUGACAGACAACCAACUGGAAAAGUAUAAGGAAAAUCUUACUACCGCAAAGGAUUGUUUUAAAACUCUGGCAGGUACCAAAGAUGAAAAAAUAACAAUAUUAGAAAAGGAGGAACCUAAAGAUGAAAUGAAUACUCCCAAAUAUACCCAUGCGUUACAGCUCUGUGAUUUAUUGGCAUCCAGAAGUGGUAAGUAAAUUAAUAUUACUAAAUUUAUCUCAGUAACUUGCACAGUGUAGAAAAAUCCUACAUAACCGUUAAAUGUAUUCCUGAAGAUGUAAUGUAUUAAAAACACCUUUAAUUGAUUACCUUGAAUUCUAUUAGCUAAUUCAUGAAACUCUGCAUGUUUAGCCAAUUUUAGUAGCACAAUGGUAUUUCCCAUUUUAUAAAAUUAAUUCAUGUUGCAUUGUUAUAUUUUACAAACCAUAUUCACGUCAUCUGAAGAAGACAGUUAGUGUAAACUGUGCAAAAAUAACCCUAAGAAAAAAUGGAGUGUAUUAUUGGUACCAAAUCAAGAUUUCUUUGCUGAAGGGGGAGUUGGCCCAGUGAGAUCUCCAGGGAUGAUUAAGAUCCAAAGAAAUGCGGUGCAGAAGUCUUUAGUGAACAAGAGUUUGGGCUCAUACUUUCAUUAUAGCUAGCCAAAUGGAGGAAAAGCACACACGUUCCUCCUGUCUUUCCCACUGGUGGGAGAUUUCUAACUGCUUCGGCUAAUUGCAAGAGUCUUUAGUUUCUGUGGGAGCCAGUUUCUCCCACAUCUGCC
RNAcentral lists this long non-coding RNA (1274 nucleotides) under Struthio camelus australis. RNAcentral's name for it is "lncRNA (ENSSCUG00000017651.1)". The record is from RNAcentral. Lineage: Eukaryota; Metazoa; Chordata; Aves; Struthioniformes; Struthionidae.